RNAcentral lists this ribosomal RNA (229 nucleotides) under uncultured bacterium. RNAcentral's name for it is "partial 16S ribosomal RNA". It matches the Rfam family "Bacterial small subunit ribosomal RNA", at positions 568 to 796 of the family's 1533-position model. The record is from RNAcentral.
UGCGUAGGUGGCUGAGUAAGUCGGAUGUUAAAUCUCCAGGCUCAACCUGGAACACCACCCGAUACUGCUCUGGCUAGAGUCCGGUAGGGGAGUGUGGAAUUCCUGGUGUAGCGGUGAAAUGCGCAGAUAUCAGGAGGAACACCAGCGGCGAAGGCGGCACUCUGGGCCGGUACUGACACUGAGGAGCGAAAGCAUGGGUAGCAAACAGGAUUAGAUACCCUGGUAGUCC